AUGAGUAGCACAACCUGCACUAUCAUAUCCUGGAACGUUAGAGGUCUAAAUUUUCCUGCUAAACGUCAUGCUGUCCACGAAAGCUUAGCUGCUUGGAAACCAUCCACUGUCUGUCUCCAAGAGACGAAAAUUAGUAACUGGACUGAUACCCUAUCUAAGGAAAUUGGAGGUGCAACUCUAGACCAAGUAUGUCACCUGCCGGCCAACGGUUCUAGAGGAGGCAUCAGCAUUUUCUGGAAUAGCACUUUGGUGCAUCUUAGCAACUGCAUCGCCUCCCAGUUCUCCCUGACGGCUACUUUCAAUUCCCUGACGGAGGAUAAGGAAUUCUGCCUCACGUCUGUCUACGGCCCAACCGAUGACAACCUCAAAGAGGCCUUCCUUGAUGAGCUAUGCUCUGCUGCGCCUGUCUUCAGCCGCCCCUGGCUCGCCAUUGGAGAUUUUAACCUCAUCUAUGAAGCUAGGGAUAAAAACAACCUAAAUCUGAACCGACGUCUCAUGGGAAAGUUCAGAGCUGCGCUCAACAGAGCUGAGUUGUUUGAGAUU
RNAcentral lists this ribosomal RNA (543 nucleotides) under Triticum aestivum (bread wheat). RNAcentral describes it as "partial small subunit ribosomal RNA". Lineage: Eukaryota; Viridiplantae; Streptophyta; Magnoliopsida; Poales; Poaceae. The record is from RNAcentral.